GGCCCGUUGGUCAAGCGGUUAAGACACUGCCCUUUCACGGCGGUAACACGGGUUCGAAUCCCGUACGGGUCAUCA
RNAcentral lists this transfer RNA (75 nucleotides) under Pisciglobus halotolerans. RNAcentral's name for it is "tRNA_Glu_TTC". It matches the Rfam family "tRNA". Rfam says of the family: Transfer RNA (tRNA) molecules are approximately 80 nucleotides in length. Their secondary structure includes four short double-helical elements and three loops (D, anti-codon, and T loops). Further hydrogen bonds mediate the characteristic L-shaped molecular structure. tRNAs have two regions of fundamental functional importance: the anti-codon, which is responsible for specific mRNA codon recognition, and the 3' end, to which the tRNAs corresponding amino acid is attached (by aminoacyl-tRNA synthetases). tRNAs cope with the degeneracy of the genetic code in two manners: having more than one tRNA (with a specific anti-codon) for a particular amino acid; and 'wobble' base-pairing, i.e. permitting non-standard base-pairing at the 3rd anti-codon position. The record is from RNAcentral. Lineage: Bacteria; Bacillati; Bacillota; Bacilli; Lactobacillales; Carnobacteriaceae.